RNAcentral lists this ribosomal RNA (251 nucleotides) under uncultured bacterium. Its description in RNAcentral is "partial 16S ribosomal RNA". It matches the Rfam family "Bacterial small subunit ribosomal RNA", at positions 524 to 776 of the family's 1533-position model. The record is from RNAcentral.
UACGGGGGGAGCAAGCGUUGUUCGGAUUUACUGGGCGUAAAGGGCGCGUAGGCGGCGUGACAAGUCACUUGUGAAAUCUCCGGGCUUAACUCGGAACGGUCAAGUGAUACUGUCGUGCUAGAGUACAGAAGGGCAACUGGAAUUCCUGGUGUAGCGGUGGAAUGCGCAGACUAUCAGGAAGAACACCCGUGGCGAAGGCGGCUCUCUGGGACGGUACUGACGCUGAGACGCGAAGCGUGGGAGCGAACAGG